UCAUCCCAAAGACGAAGAAUCAUGGCCCCAGAAGAAGACAUGGAUGAUAUAUCCUCUAAAUGAAUAUUAGAGUUUACACCAAGUCCUAAGAUAUAGAACAUGUGAACUAAGAUUGUACCAACUCCUGAACUAACAACUCCAUUCUUUAGGUACUCAUUUGUUGAUGGCACCACUCCAGAAGCAAACCAUUUUGCUUCUUUUAAAAAUGCAUUGCACAAAUUUCCCCACUAAAAUUCAAAAAAUAAUAGUAACAAUUAUGAGUAUAAUAAUAUAUAAUAAAGUAUAUAUUGAGAAAAUAAUUCAUUUGUCUUAUUUUAUAUGACAUAUUUUAGUUCAAAAAAGAGUGGAACAUCUUUAAUAUAUGUAUAUAUAGUACCGUAUUCCGUAGAUUUUGAGUGGGGUUUUGUCCAUAGAUUUUGUAGACAUUAUAGCCAAUGGAAUUAAUUGUAUUAUAAAGAGCCUUGUAAGUUGAUCUCAUGUAUUCUGGUAGGUCCGUCAUGGCGUUUAAUUCCCACCUAAAAUAAUAAUAAUAGCCUUUAAGGUUAUAGACCAACAAAAAAAAAAUAACGACAUUUUACACUAUCAGAUCAUUUUAAUCUCAAAUAAAAUACCUAUUGACGGCUUGAGUGAAAAGGGUUAACUCUUCAAUAGUCCCAUAAACAUCAAAGAUAUCAUCAAUGACAUAAACAAAAGAAAUACAUUUUGCUAGCUCAAUUCUUUGUUGUGACAUUCUUGGAUCUUGAAGGACUGCCAUUGGCCAAGUAUACCAUUUUAAUGGUUGAUCUCUCAAAAGCUUCAAUUCUUCAGCUAAACCAGAGAGAGAGAGAGAGAGAGAGAGAGAGAGAGAGAGAGAGAGAGAGAGAGAGAGAUAGAGAGAGAGAGAGAGAGAGAGAGAGAGAGAGAUAGUAUAAAGAUUUUGUAUGUUAUAUAUUAACGGAAAAAAGAAAGAUUUGGAUCAAGACCUCCAACAUUCUAAAAAGUGAGAAAGACAUUUUGAUAUUCAAUCGAGACCUUGUAGGAACUUGUGAUCAGUAGGGGCGGAGUUAGAAGUCUAGGUCUAAAUUCGAUUAAAUUCAAUAGCUUUUGCUCAAAUAGUGUAUUAGUAUUAAGAAUUUUAUUAAAUAUGGAUAAAUAUUAAGUUUAGAACCUAAUUUGUUAAACUUGAUCGUCAUUUUAAAUUCAAAAUCCAUAAGAUUAAAAUUCUGAUUUUGUGUCUGGUGAUUACUGCUUUUAAACUUGUUUGUAGCAUGUAAAUUGGCUUAUUUUAGGUUAUUAAUUCGAUUUUUUUAAUAACCUAUAGCUUUGUGAGUUUAAUUUUAUAUAUAAAGAUAGUUAAAGGAUUUUUGCAACAUCAAGUCCCCUAAAAAUAAGAUUAAUAACCUAGAAAGUAAAAUAAGUUAAAAUAUAAUGGUGGUAUCAAACUCCAUUAUACUCUAUAUCAGUAUAAAUAAGUUAAAUGCUUAAUUAUAGGUAAUCUGAUAGUGUAAAACUCUUAUACUGUUAGUGUAUAAUAGUUAAAUUCAACUAAUUAAUAUACCUGGAAACUUGAGCCAAUUCAUGUUGAUGUAUCUCUUUUGUUAUGGAGUAGUCCAUAUUUGCCAAUUCUUGUAAGGUGCUUCUUCCCCAUCCAUUAAUUCCCUUAAAGUUAUUGAUGAAGCUUUUGGCCUUGCAACUUGCUAAACUCUUAUGGUAUGGAUACUUCAAUGUUUCUUUAAUAAUUCUAGCUUCAUCACAUGAGUCACUAUUUGCAAGACAUGCAUUUAGGUGAUCACCACUAAAAUUUGCAACUUCAUCAAGUAUGUGUUCACCUUCUACACCAAGUUGUGAUGCUUCAUAUAAACCAAUUAAUCCAUUUACAUCAUCUUGGCUAAGGUUUAAUCCAAAUGUCCCAUCAUCAUUGUUCUUGAAUCUUUUAAAUACAUCUGCCCAAUGCAAUAUAAGGUUGUUAGAUUAAAAUAUUUCAAAUCGAGGAUUAACUUUUAUAUACAAUGUGAAUGUAGUACUACAAUAAUUUAGAAAUAUUGGACUUCAAUGGAAAACCAAUUACCUGCUGACACGUGGUAACCUUCUUGUCUCAAAAGUCUGAAACAAAGUGAAAUAUCAUGAUGGUUUUGAUAUUUGUAAAAACAAGCACUUUGCUCAUAUUCCUUUUGUAAAAUUGAUUGAAUCUCUUCUUGAAAAUGGUGUUCAAUUCCCAUACGUUGAAGUGCAUCCACUAAAACAAGAUCGUUAGUACUAUUUAUUUGUGUCCUUAGUGCAUACUUUACAUCCUUCACAAGUAGUCCAAAUUUGGUACUAUUGAAUCCAUCCUGCAUUAGUAAUUAAGUAUUUUCUUAGUAUAAAAAAAACAAGAAUGGGAAAAUACUAUUUAUGGUGCAUCUUUCCCCUUUGUAUUAGUAGUAAGGUUAUCAAAAGGAUUUCUGAUUGGGCGGUUACUUUGCGAUAUUGUGUCAAUUCAAGUUUCGAACUUGUGCAGAUUUGAUUUUCUCUGAGAUCUCGAGAAUUCUUUAGUAAAGGCAUGGCUUAAGCCCACUCGGGACGGGAGAUUUUUCAACUACUAUUAUAAUUACAGCUCGUACAACCUUAAGGAAUCGAGACUAGUCUAAUAAGUUACUAGCUUUAUAGUUUGUUUUCUACUGAAUUACAUAAUUGAUUUAACUUACAUAGUGCAACAGUACGGUAUUGACACUCCUUUAUUGGAAAUUACAUCGUAUAAAUAGAUUUACUUUUAUAUAUAUAUGUUUGUCGCGUUAUGAAUUUUUAUUCAGAAUUUGUAUCAUUUAAUGAUGCUAUGUGAAUUGCUAGAAAAAUAUGAAGUAUAUUACUAGCUCAAUAACAAAAGUUUUAUAUGGGGAUUAGAAAAGACUACCAUGAUACAAAAGUAUAUUACAAGCUCAAUAAUAUAAACAAAAGAGAUGCAUUUUGCUAGCUCAAUGUUAUGUCUCAACUUACUUCAUGAAUCUUUAACUUAUACACGGAUAAUAUAUUUUAUGUAUGAUAGGAUAAAAUUAUCUAAUAUUAUCAAUUUAUAAAAGUUAAAAUCUUACGUUAUAGUAGCUUGUUUGAAGAUGAGAGGUUUCUUUAAAAAGAUCUUCUUGAACAUUCCAUUUGUUAGAGCUCCUGCAUGAAACUUGAAUACUUCUUUUGCUUCCAAUUUGGCAAAGAUAUAAUUGUGAAGGGUAGAAAGCUAUAGUAAUAUUUGCCAUGAAAGAUAAUUUAAUAUAUACAAAUAUUUCCCUGCCCAGUUUUCUUUUACCUUUGUCUCUUUCUCGUUAUAUACAUACACAAAUUAUACAAUUGAUCUUUUGUAUACAACUGCUUUCUUUUGUAUAUGUAUAGCGAAUUAUACAUAUAUAUGUUUGCUAUGGAGCGCAAUUAUGCAAACUUUGCUAUAGCAUACAAAUAUGAAUUUUGUGUUUGCUAUAUGUGAAAGUUGCUCUAAAAUUAUCUAUGAUUAAUUAUUUACUGAUCUCCACAAGUUGACUAUUAUAAUUAUUUUUUCUAAAGAAGUUGAUCUAUUGAGGUCGGUAUUUAUAUUUAUUUAUUUUUGAUAAAUAUCUCGACUUGGUCAACAAUAAAAAAAUUUCAUCAGUAAUAAAUAUGUCGACUUGGAAGUAGUUAUUUCGUAAGAAAUUACUAAAAAAUGUGCUUGAGUGAUAAGUAUAUUUUGACUAUGUAUUUUAGAUUUAUGAUUCAAUUCCUAUAAGUACUUUUUUUAUAUAAUGAUGUUUUACUUUCAGAGUGAAUAUUGUUAAUAAUUAAUCGAAUCUAAAAAUAAUAUUGAUUACUAAAUGAAGAAAUAAGUAGAAUAAAAGAAUGUCAACAUAGAGGACAAGCGUGAAACACAUUUACAACGAUUUUUUGCACAUAAGUAUCACGUGUGGUCAAUAGUGACGACGAUAGUGAAGUGGUUAAAGUAAGCAUACAAUAAAUAACUAAUAUAUUUUUUUAUCGAAAAGAUUCGAACAUGUCAAAUCUACCUAGCUUCGCCCUGGUAUGCAAUGGGCAAUCUCAGUAACAUGCUUCUAUCAAAGCAGUAAAACUCGACCAUCGUCUCAGUAAAGUAGCUCAUAGAUAUAGGAUACGAACGAUUAACAGUUCUUGCUAAAAAAAAGGUAGGGUUGUUCGCAAUCGAAUUGAAUAAUACAAAUUGAAAAAAAGUUAUUUGAUUUAUUGAUAAUGAAUUAUUGAUUUAGUAGUUUAGAUAACGAUUUUGAUUUUUUUAAUUAUCGGUUCUUAACGGUUUAAGAUUUUUUCUUAGUAGGUUAACCAUAAUCUGAUAGUAAAUUAAUAAAUUAUAUUUAUCAUUCGAUAUAUAAAGUCUUUGACUUAGGAUUUAGUUUCAUACUUUUAUUUUUUGUUGUCUCAACUCUUAGUUAUUUUACAGUGUAGUAGUGUUUGCUUUUGAGCAAGACGCAAACUAUCAACUCAUGUACCUAGUUCAUUUGGUUUGUCACCUUGAUUCCAAGUGAUCUUCAAUGAUUAUUUGGUUUAAUCAAUUAUGUUGGUUAUAAAAGUUAGACCAACAUUAUAAUGAUCAAUAAACGAUAAAUCAAUAUCUUGAUGAUUAUAUAAUAAUUUGACAUGUCUAUAAAUUAAUAAUCGACAAAUUAAAUCGAUAAAAUUCAAAAUCAAAUCAAAUCGAAUCGACCACGCAAUUACUUACCUCACAUUUGUGGUGGGCACAACUCCCAGGUAGGGGUGGUGGCCCAAACUCUGCAAUAUUAUCUCUAGCUAUUGAUAUCCACAAAUUAAAUUGAAUCUUAAUUUAUUUGGACAUCAAAAAUCAACAUCAAAAUCGACGAGAUUCCUUGAUUUUCGUAAAAUAAAAUAACAUUGGACUUUUUUUCUUAAUUUUAGUAUAAUUUUAAAUUUGCAAGAUUCCUUGAUUUUCGUAAAACAACAUUUUCAUUCUUUUAGUACUUAUAAUUUUACAAAACCAAUACAUAAAUAACACUGUUCUUUCCUAUUUUACCCUUUUUUAACAACCAACUAUUAUGAUUUAUGGUCACAUCACACACGUAUAGACUUCAAAGGUAAUGUUUAUACAAGUUCCAUUCAAGUUGAGUCUACUGCCAGAAUAAAUAAAAUAAUUUUUUUUAAUUUAAAAUUUUUAAUUAUUUUUUCUUUUAACAACAUUAAUCUCUCCUCACAUUAGCAAAAUAAGUAAAAAUGUUAGAAAUACUUAAAUCUAUCUUAGUUUUUAAAAAUAAUAAGUAUUUGGGGUCAAUUAUUUUUAGUAAUCAUGAUAAAUAAAAUGAACCAAUACUUUUAGGUAGGCACAUCGUCUCACCGACACUAACAAGUACUCUCUUUCAUUUACUUUUACUUAUCCGUUAUUUUUAAAAUAGAUUUUCAUUUUUAUGACUUUCAACGUAUUAAGAAAUUAAGUACAAUUUUUAUAUAUUUCACACUUAGCAGUAAUUAUUUAUUUUCUAAAUUAUUAUUUCUUAAGAGAUGUACGAGAUUUAAAAUGAACAAAUAAAAAUGAACGGAGAAAUUAACAACCAACAAUUUGUAGUGUAGGCAUUUAGAAACGUCACUUUAUUCUUCUCCCAUCACACAGUUCAAAAUGUCAUGUUGGUCUAACUUUAGUUAUCUAAAAAUCCAACAUAAUUCACUGUACUCCUUUCUUGGUUAAUCAUCUAUUUCAAAGUUUUUAAAAUUAUUUUGUUUUAGUUUCUUAUAAAUAUAUCCCAACUACCCCUUUUGAUUUGUCUCUUGCUGGACAAAGAAAAAUAUUGUGAGCCCUUAACUAAUUUUCUAUACGAAUGAGAGUAAUUUUAUAUUGAAGAAAGGUGUUUUUUUGUUAGAUUGAGUUUUAAACUCUUCAAUUAAUUUAGAGUUGUUUGAAUUAUACGAUGUUGUUGAGCUCAUGUUGUAUUCUAGAGGGGAUAAGCCAAGACUCAAGAUAUAUACUGCUGGAUCGGUGUAUGUUAUGUUACAGUAGAGUUUAAUUUCCUUAAAGAGAGUAAGAUAUCCGCACCUCAAUCUAAAUAUUUUAUUUAUUUAUUUUUUAUCAUUUUGUUUUUCAACUAUAAUUUGCUUUAAUUUGUGAUACAUAUACCAAUAUAUUUUAUUAAUAGACGUGCAAACAAAAACAUGACAAGUAAAAUGAUGCAAGAAAGUAUAAAACAAGCUAUAAAUAUUGAUAUAAUUAUGAAUUAUUUCAUAAAAAAUAAUAUAUUAUAAAGUUAAAAUAUUUUUAAACAUACUAGGUAUCAAUUUUUCCCCUAAAAAAAUCUUAAAAGAAAACAGUGAGAGUUGGCUAAUUCCAACUAUAUAUAGCUCAAUAGCAAACUUGAAACUUCUAUUAUAGUUUUCUACUAGUCAUGAAAGUAUGUAAAGCUAUUUGAUUGAUAAUAUAUAAAGCCAUCCACAAAGCCAAUUGAAAGUAUAUAUAGUGAUUCAAAUAAUACAUAUGUCAUAUAAAAGGAAGUUCCAACAAUAUGCUACCUUGUAUCAAUAUGUUUAGCUUACAUCUCAAAAUUAGUGUUUAAAAAGUUAGUAUUAAUUAAUUUAAAUAUUUCAGGCUCAAAACUCCUCAGACAUGUAUUGCAUUGUGGUCCAUUUAAAUACACACAAAUAGAUUCUUUGUGGUCAAGAUAGCUGUCUCUUCAUGUUUUUGUACAUAAUGUGUGGUUUCACUUCUUUGUGGAUGGAAUAAUAUAUUCAAUAUAGGAUCAGACAAAGACAUAAGUUUAAGUUUCAACAUCAGUAAUAUCAAGGUUUUCCUACUGUGAUUUAUUGAAAAAUUUAUGCUAUAGAAUAUAAGUUUUCCAUUCAUUUUUUACCGAAUCAGUUCAUUAAAAAAAUGCAUGGUGGAAAACAAAUUCUGACUGAACUUGUGGGAAAUUUCCUAUUUUGUUUUUCAUAUGAAAACAUUACUAUUUUUCUUUUCUCACCAAUUCUCAAUCAAAAUAUCUGAGGGAUAGCCACUGAACAUUUUCCAAUGAGAAAUUAUGUGGAAAAAAAGUGAUUUUUAAAAAGUGUCACAUGUCUAGGUCAUGAAAAAAAUUCAGACUUGUAUGUGAAAAAGAGUGUUAAUUAAAUUUCUCCUUAACCUUUUUCUAUGAAAUGAUCAUACUUCUCGUAAAAUAGUUACUAGUACUUUCAAAGACCUCUUUUCAGAUUUGACUUUGUAACAUUAUCCUCCUUUUGUGGUUUAUAAUGUUAUAUAUACUUAUCUCCUUUAUUAUAUUUUUUCAUAAUAAUUUUCUUACUUAUAUCUUAUUAAUACUAAAUAAUUAUAAUUGGACUAAUUUACCUAACACUACUCUAUUUUUAGGGGAAAUGUGCAGUUCUAUGAAAGUUCCAAAAUAAAUCACUCAUUCAAUCAUGAUUUCAUAGGAGGAUUUAAAAUUUCGAAGUUCUAAGUCCCAAGAUAAUAUGGGCCAAAAAGGCCAAGACUGGGUUGAAUUUAGAAGGAUUUUUCCAAGGGAGGGGAAGGUUGUCAACCAUCAAUAAAAUUCCGUCCCAUAUUAGUUGAUUAUUAUACUAAAUAUAGUUAUUUAUAUUAGUUAAUCACCUUACUAAAUCAAGAAAUCAUCAAUUAAUUUUUUUUAAUGUAAUAUCCUUGCAAUUACUUCUUUUUGAAAGAGUUCACAUUUGUUUGUGAAAUUUUCAAGAAGUUUUUUUAGGGGUGAAUUAGUAAAGUCGUCUUUUUAUUUAUGAUUUCUUAAGCAUCGUGCAAAAUGAAAAGUGAUCAACUAAUAUGGGACGGAGGGAAUAAUAAUGAUGUACUCUGUCUCAAUUAAUGUGUGUUAAUCGAAGUUUUGAGAUUUAAAUCGUUAAAUUUUGAUCGUAAAUUUGGAUAUACAAAUUUUAAGCUUUGCAAAAUAAAAUUGUAUAUUUAAAAGCUAUGCAAAGAGUGAAGUACAGUAAAUCAUAAUAAUUAAUAACUUAAAUAUUUAAAAGACAUAAAAAAAUAAUCAACAAAAUUUAGUUAACUUUUGAAAUUCCAACUAUGUGAUAUAAAUUGGAACAAAAGGAAUAGUUUAGAUAAAAUAUGCAUUCAUUUUAUCAUCUUUAGACUUUAUUUGUGAAAUUCCAUCGAAUUUAUCAUUGUAAAUGUGUGUGAGUGGCUCUCCUCCCUCCAACACCUAGGUAUAUGAGCCUAUUAUGGUCAUAUAUAUAAAUUUCAAAAUUUAAUGUCUUACACAUUGUUCUAUUCAAUAGGGUCUACUUCCAGCAUGUACCACUAAAUUCUUUAUCACAAAAAAAGAGUCCCAACAUCUAAUUCAUUCUCACCUACUUUAUUAGCAGUGAUACUUUGAUAAUUAAGAAAAAACAUCCCCUUUUAUUAUUUAAUCUUAAUCAUUUUCUUAUUUUUUUUUAGCUAAUCAUCCACCCUGACUUUCACUUUCUGUGAUAAUGGAGAGUUUGAUAUAUAAAAAAAUAAUUUAUUUUGCUAUGUUAAAUUUUGAUACUUCAACGACCUUUUAAGAUAUUAAUGGUCAGAUGAAGAAGGUUUUUGCGACUUUUCAUUACUUUUUAUUUACGAUUUGUUAUGAUGUAUUAAAAAUAAUAAGUUUUGCAUAAUUUUAAAAAAAAAAAAUUGUUUACAAAAAUACCCUUCACACUUUUUAGCUUUGAGAAAUGUAAAAUGUUUUGAGAGGGAUUUGAUGGGUAGUUAUCUGUUAUGUCAUUAAUCAAUCUAAUGCAUGUGUUGAAACUUGAAAUUACUUGUAUUACUAAUACAUGAAAAUUCAUGAUAAAAAAGUAUACCAAAAAGAUAUAAUAAUACACAAAGUUAAUACAUGCAUUAUUUCCAAGCAUAGGGACUAAAAUAAUACGAGACAAAAAAAAUUCUCUUAACAUAACUUGCUAAAAUCAACAAAUAAAAAAAUAAUUAUUUUUAAUAGAGGGACCAAAUAAAAAAUAAAACGGAGGAAAUAACUUUUAAAUAUAAAAGAGUAGUAUUAAUUUCUUAACUUUUUUCUUUAUGUUUUAUUUCUUAACUAUAAAUUAGAAAAACAGUACCAAGUAAUAAGGAGUAAUAUAAUAGAUCUACUUUUUUUUUGUUAUACUACAUUUGAAUUUAAAGAGUCUAAUUCAAAAUAUGAAUCACGUGGAUUCAACUUUCUAUCUCAAUAUUAAAUUUAUUACAUAUUUUUCAAAUUGUGAAUUCAGACUUAUUAGUUAUUGUAAAUGUAAAUCUAAUUAAAUUAUUAUAUCAAAAUUAUGCCCUACAAUAAAUAUUGAGUUUAAAACAAUUGAUGUCAUAAUGCUACAUUCACUUUUAAAGAACUUAUAACCACAUAAUAUAUGUUGGUUGGGAGAGGAAGGGGCUAGCCCAUGUCCUUUUUCUUUUUUAUUAGUAGUAAUUUAUAUCCUUUUUGGAUUUUCUUUUUUUACCGAAGGUUUAGCUAUUACAAACAACCUCUUUAUCCUGUAAAAAUAGAAAUAAAAUUUGCACAACAUCAUAUUCUCUUUGUUCCCACUUGCAAUAGUUAUCAAUGUAUAUAUUUGAUAUUUUGAAUUCAGACAUUAUUAUUUGUGGGCUCCCUCCAAACCCUAGGUAGAUGAAGCAUAAAUGUAUAAGAGUAAUUGUAGUGGUCAUAUGCAUAAAUUUUAGAAGUAAAAUCUAUAUAUAAAAGUUCUUUUCAAAUAGGGUCUACUGCCAGCAUAAUCUAUGGUACCACCAACUUGUUUUUUGUCACAAAAAAGUUCCCCAAGAAUUAAUUUAUUUUUAAUUGUUGACGAGUAGUGUCACACUAAAUGUAUACAAUAUCAAAGAACUACAUAGUUCAAACAUAUUCUUAGCACCCUGUAUGAAUCAAUUAAGGAAAGUAUUCGGCCAAGAUAUUUUCUUCAACAAGGAGAUAGAGAAUAAGGGUGUCAAUUGGGCCGACCUGUUCUAUUUCGGCCCAGUAAGACCGGUCCGCUAACGGCCCGCGUCCAGUAAGCCCAGGACCGACACCUGAUCCCCUUACUUAGUGGACUAUGCCGGUCCGGAUAUUUUUUAGGGCAAAUUGAGCGUUGAUACAUUAAUCUGAUGCGCGAGAUACAAUAAUAUAAUAUAAGCGUUGAUACAUUAAUCUGAUGCGCGAGAUACAAUAAUAUAAUAUAAGCGUUGAUACAUUAAUCUGAUGCGCGAGAUACAAUAAUAUAAUAUAAGCGUUGAUACAUUAAUCUGAUGCGCGAGAUACAAUAAUAUAAUAUAAGCGUUGAUACAUUAAUCUGAUGCGCGAGAUACAAUAAUAUAAUAUAAGCGUUGAUACAUUAAUCUGAUGCGCGAGAUACAAUAAUAUAAUAUAAGCGUUGAUACAUUAAUCUGAUGCGCGAGAUACAAUAAUAUAAGCGCUGAUACACUAAUCUGAUGCGCGAAAAUGAGGGACUUUGGAAAUUUAUAAAACUUAUAGGGGAUAAUGGUAAUAAGUAAACUAAAAGGUGAGAUUUCUGUAAUUUUUUCUAUUUUUUAUUCAGAGCCCAGUAAGGCCGGCCCGCGUACGGUAAGCCUGAGACUGACACCUGGGCCCCUUACUUAGUGGUCUGGGCUGAUCUGGAUACUUUUUGCUCAGAGCUCGGUAAGGCCGGCCCAGUAAGAGACUGAUCGACAACGCAUCGAUCUGGUAAGUAAAUUUUUGUGUGACGAUAUCAAUGAUUGUAAAAUUAAGGAAUGAACAGUUGCAACAAUCAUGUUCAAUUUCUUUUGACAAUUUUAGAUUGUGGUGCUUUGUAAUCAAGGGCGAGAAGGAAGUUCAUGGAAAGGUAGUUCACAUUGAUAAAUCACCAUACAACAUAGACUUGAUAUAUUCUUGAAGGAUAGGAAGGGAUUGGUUAUCAUCAUAACUAUACAUAAGAGGAACCAUUCUUGCAGAAUUAAGUGAAGCUUUUGAAAAUGAUCUUGAAGAUGGACUCAUUAGAUGUAAAUGUUCCUUGUUGAGUUUCUUCCAUUCAUCUUCUAUUAGAUUAAUCACAUGUUCUCUUGCCAAUUCAAUGGAAGUAUCUUUGUUUUCCUUCAUGUAACAUUCUAUGUAUGAACCAUCUUUUCCUUCUUGAUCCUCAUCCUGCACACACAACGCAUAUUCUAAAAAUGAUACAAACAUGUCACGUGUAAAGAUGAAAUUUCUUUUUGUUACCUUGGCACUUCCAAGAUCAUCCCAAAGGCGAAGAAUCGUAGCCACAGAAGAAGAUAUGGCUGAUACAUCUUCCAAAUGAAUAGAACUAACACCAAGACCUAAGAGAUAGAACAUGUGAACUAAGACUGCUUGAACUCCCGAACUAACAAGUCCAUUCUUUAGGUACUCAUUUGUUGAUGGCACCACUCCAGAAGCAAACCAUUUUGCUUCUUUUAGAAAUGCAUUGCACAAAUUUCCCCACUAAAAUUCAAA
This 11336-nucleotide long non-coding RNA is filed under the name Solanum tuberosum (potato). RNAcentral's name for it is "long non-coding RNA (STUB_LNC009515)". Lineage: Eukaryota; Viridiplantae; Streptophyta; Magnoliopsida; Solanales; Solanaceae. The record is from RNAcentral.